This 500-nucleotide ribosomal RNA is filed under the name uncultured bacterium. RNAcentral describes it as "partial 16S ribosomal RNA". It matches the Rfam family "Bacterial small subunit ribosomal RNA", at positions 30 to 523 of the family's 1533-position model. The record is from RNAcentral.
AUUGAACGCUGGCGGAAUGCUUUACACAUGCAAGUCGAACGGCAGCACGGACUUCGGUCUGGUGGCGAGUGGCGAACGGGUGAGUAAUGUAUCGGAACGUGCCCAGUCGUGGGGGAUAACGUAGUGAAAAUUACGCUAAUACCGCAUACGAUCUAUGGAUGAAAGCGGGGGAUCGCAAGACCUCGCGCGAUUGGAGCGGCCGAUAUCAGAUUAGGUAGUUGGUGGGGUAAAGGCCCACCAAGCCAACGAUCUGUAGCUGGUCUGAGAGGACGACCAGCCACACUGGAACUGAGACACGGUCCAGACUCCUACGGGAGGCAGCAGUGGGGAAUUUUGGACAAUGGGCGAAAGCCUGAUCCAGCCAUUCCGCGUGCAGGAUGAAGGCCCUCGGGUUGUAAGCUGCUUCUGUACAGAACGAAAAGGUUUCUACUAAUACUAGGAGCUCAUGACGGUACUGUAAGAAUAAGCACCGGCUAACUACGUGCCAGCAGCCGCCGUAA